RNAcentral lists this transfer RNA (69 nucleotides) under Laccotrephes robustus. RNAcentral describes it as "tRNA-Gln". Lineage: Eukaryota; Metazoa; Arthropoda; Insecta; Hemiptera; Nepidae. The record is from RNAcentral.
UAUAUUUUAGUGUAAGAAGCACGAAGAGGUUUGAGCUCUUAGGGCUUAGUUUAAUUCUGAGAAAUAUAA